This 462-nucleotide ribosomal RNA is filed under the name uncultured bacterium. Its description in RNAcentral is "partial 16S ribosomal RNA". It matches the Rfam family "Bacterial small subunit ribosomal RNA", at positions 29 to 507 of the family's 1533-position model. The record is from RNAcentral.
ACGAACGCUGGCGGCGUGCUUAACCCCUGCAAGUCGAACGGAAAGGCCUUUUCGGAGGUACUCGAGUUGCGAACGGGUGAGUAACACGUGGGUGAUCUGCCCUGCACUCUGGGAUAAGCCUGGGAAACUGGGUCUAAUACCGGAUAGGACCGCACUUUAGUGUGUGUGGUGGAAAGUUUUUUCGGUGUAGGAUGAGCCCGCGGCCUAUCAGCUUGUUGGUGGGGUAAUGGCCUACCAAGGCGGCGACGGGUAGCCGGACUGAGAGGUUGGUCGGCCACAUUGGGACUGAGAUACGGCCCAGACUCCUACGGGAGGCAGCAGUGGGGAAUAUUGCACAAUGGGCGCAAGCCUGAUGCAGCGACGCCGCGUGGGGGAUGACGGCCUUCGGGUUGUAAACUCCUUUCGCCAGGGACGAAGCGUUUUGUGACGGUACCUGGAGAAGAAGCACCGGCUAACUACGUG